Long non-coding RNA from Pipistrellus kuhlii (Kuhl's pipistrelle), 186 nucleotides. RefSeq lists it as uncharacterized. Lineage: Eukaryota; Metazoa; Chordata; Mammalia; Chiroptera; Vespertilionidae. The transcript has 2 exons. The record is from RefSeq and is a predicted model, not a curated record.
GGAGCAGCCCAGUCACAGUGAUGAAGCUGGGGGCCGAAUCUACUUGGCCACUGAGCUGAGACUUUGGUGCUGAUAGAACAAAAUGACAAAACCAGACCAAACCAAAAGGAACAUGAAGAAGAAGAAAAAGCAUGAGUGAACAAAAUACCACUAAUAAUGAAAGCAGCAGCAUAAACAAACCAAAAC